AAGUACUGCUUGCUUUGGCUGCUUAUAUUCUAAAAUGGGAAUAAUACUGAGGAGAUCUGCAUGGCCCCGCACAAAGAUGACAUGUAAAUUUGUGAGUUUUUUUUUUUUUUU
Tupaia belangeri (northern tree shrew) is the source of this 111-nucleotide small nuclear RNA. The record is from Ensembl. Lineage: Eukaryota; Metazoa; Chordata; Mammalia; Scandentia; Tupaiidae.